RNAcentral lists this ribosomal RNA (253 nucleotides) under uncultured bacterium. RNAcentral describes it as "partial 16S ribosomal RNA". It matches the Rfam family "Bacterial small subunit ribosomal RNA", at positions 524 to 776 of the family's 1533-position model. The record is from RNAcentral.
UACGUAGGGUGCGAGCGUUGUCCGGAAUUACUGGGCGUAAAGAGCUCGUAGGCGGUUUGUCGCGUCGUCCGUGAAAACUCACAGCUUAACUGUGAGCUUGCGGUCGAUACGGGCAGGCUAGAGUUCGGUAGGGGAGACUGGAAUUCCUGGUGUAGCGGUGAAAUGCGCAGAUAUCAGGAGGAACACCGGUGGCGAAGGCGGGUCUCUGGGCCGAUACUGACGCUGAGGAGCGAAAGCGUGGGGAGCGAACAGG